RNAcentral lists this ribosomal RNA (445 nucleotides) under Shigella sonnei. Its description in RNAcentral is "partial 23S ribosomal RNA". It matches the Rfam family "Bacterial large subunit ribosomal RNA", at positions 2213 to 2657 of the family's 2925-position model. Lineage: Bacteria; Pseudomonadati; Pseudomonadota; Gammaproteobacteria; Enterobacterales; Enterobacteriaceae. The record is from RNAcentral.
UUUGAUGUUCUAACGUGGACCCGUGAUCCGGGUUGCGGACAGUGUCUGGUGGGUAGUUUGACUGGGGCGGUCUCCUCCUAAAGAGUAACGGAGGAGCACGAAGGUUGGCUAAUCCUGGUCGGACAUCAGGAGGUUAGUGCAAUGGCAUAAGCCAGCUUGACUGCGAGCGUGACGGCGCGAGCAGGUGCGAAAGCAGGUCAUAGUGAUCCGGUGGUUCUGAAUGGAAGGGCCAUCGCUCAACGGAUAAAAGGUACUCCGGGGAUAACAGGCUGAUACCGCCCAAGAGUUCAUAUCGACGGCGGUGUUUGGCACCUCGAUGUCGGCUCAUCACAUCCUGGGGCUGAAGUAGGUCCCAAGGGUAUGGCUGUUCGCCAUUUAAAGUGGUACGCGAGCUGGGUUUAGAACGUCGUGAGACAGUUCGGUCCCUAUCUGCCGUGGGCGCUGG